GAUGAACGCUGGCGGCGUGCCUAAUACAUGCAAGUCGAGCGAACAGACGAGAGUGCUUGCACUCUCUGACGUUAGCGGCGGACGGGUGAGUAACACGUGGGUAACCUACCUAUAAGACUGGGAUAACUUCGGGAAACCGGAGCUAAUACCGGAUAAUAUUUAGCUUCGCAUGAAGCAAUAGUGAAAGACGGUUCUGCUGUCACUUAUAGAUGGACCCGCGGUGUAUUAGCUAGUUGGUGAGGUAACGGCUCACCAAGGCAACGAUACAUAGCCGACCUGAGAGGGUGAUCGGCCACACUGGGACGUAGACACGGCCCAGACUCCUACGGGAGGCAGCAGUAGGGAAUCUUCCGCAAUGGACGAAAGUCUGACGGAGCAAUGCCGCGUGAGUGAAGAAGGUUUUCGGAUCGUAAAACUCUGUUGUAAGGGAAGAACAAGUACGUUAGUAACUGAACGUACCUUGACGGUACCUUACCAGAAAGCCACGGCUAACUACGUG
Molecule: ribosomal RNA, 499 nt
Filed under: uncultured bacterium
Lineage: Bacteria
Description: partial 16S ribosomal RNA
Rfam family: Bacterial small subunit ribosomal RNA
Source: RNAcentral